UACGUAGGGUGCGAGCGUUAAUCGGAAUUACUGGGCGUAAAGCGUGCGCAGGCGGUUCGUUAAGUCAGAUGUGAAAGCCCCGGGCUCAACCUGGGAAUGGCAGUGGAAACUAGGGGACUGGAAUCUGGCAGAGGGGGGUGGAAUGCCGCGUGUAGCAGUGAAAUGCGUAGAGAUGCGGCGGAACACCGAUGGCGAAGGCAGCCCCCUGGGCUGAGAUUGACGCUCAGGCACGAAAGCGUGGGGAGCAAACAGG
This 253-nucleotide ribosomal RNA is filed under the name uncultured bacterium. RNAcentral describes it as "partial 16S ribosomal RNA". It matches the Rfam family "Bacterial small subunit ribosomal RNA", at positions 524 to 776 of the family's 1533-position model. The record is from RNAcentral.